Molecule: long non-coding RNA, 1441 nt
Organism: Macadamia integrifolia
Lineage: Eukaryota; Viridiplantae; Streptophyta; Magnoliopsida; Proteales; Proteaceae
Exons: 4
Source: RefSeq, a predicted model, not a curated record
AUUCACUGCUUGCACCGUACUGUGUUUGUGGGCUUCCGUGAAGGAUAGGAUUCCUUUCCAUAAAGCUCAGGAUCGGAGAGUGAUCCAACCGCUGGGUUAACCUCAGGUACAUGUGGGGUCACUCUGGGCUCUCCAAAAGAGGAGCCUGGGCUGGGUCGUUAACUAUAAUAACGGUCAGUUCGUUCACUAUUCGCUGUCGAGUCUUGAGUCUCUUGACCUGCCUCUUUUUCUUUUUAUUUUUCCUUUUCCUUUUUUUCUUUUUUGCAAAUCCAUUUUUUCUUGUUCUACUCUAUCCUCGUUGCAGGGACCCUCCCUCUACUAAGUUCUGAUAUUCUUCCUUCACUUACUCAACUAAACCCUAGAAACCUCUCAAUCAGUCGAUGCAGAAGAAUGAAGAACUUAUAUCACUAGCGCCAACGGAAGGUAAAACUCAAGAGAUAAUACAUGCAGUGCAGAAAAAAAAAAAAUGCAGUGCAGUACAGGUGACAGAGGGUUAUGUUAUGAUCUUUGAAAGGGAGACACAUAUGGGCUACUUCUAUAUAAUUUAUCCUGGUUUUUCUUCCCAAAAGCACUCAUUCGGUUUCUGCAACAGCAUUGUUUCUAAAGUCUUAAGAUUACUUGGCUGUCACUUUGUGUUCACUUUCUGUUGAGGGCUGGUGGUGCCAUGUUUGUUCUUUGGCUUCUAUAUCUUCUCUCUCCUUCACAGAAUUCCAGGGAUGAACUUGAUCUUAUUGGUGGCCUCUGUAGAUGAAAACUUUGGCAGUGACUUUUGGUUACUUCAUCUAUGUUCUCCUAUGCUCCCUAUUCAAUGACCAUUUGAACAUUGACGAUGCAGCUCAUCAUCUGGUCAGCAUUCUUGGUAUACCUUUUCUAUGAAGGGUGAGAACUUUGUUCUCCUGGUAAAUUUAUUCGCAUUCAAGAAAAUGCCUUUUUCUGUUUAAAGUAUUACACCUGAUUUGUUAGGUUGUUGAAGAAGCAGAUUUCUAAUAUGCACCCUUCCUAGAAGGAGGGAUAUGAAUAUAAUGUUCUGGAACACAAGAGGGUGAUAGGUACUUUGGUAAUUCCAUAGCUGUUUUGGUUCUUUCUGCUUCAUCCUUAAACACUAUGAACAGAGGCAGAGAAAAUAUGUAAAGGGUAUGGGCACAAAAGUUGAAUGCACUAGAGAGAGGACAUUUGGAGAAUCAAUUGGCAUAUAUCCAUAAGGCUGCUCAACAUUGAAGAAAGAAGAAACAAUGUGUUCAAUACCAGAAGCAAUGGCUUGGCUUAUAUCAAUUGAUAUUUCUAUGAUUUGAGGCUUGUAUCCGGAAUUCUGGAUCGAAAUUUCCCCUGCUAGAAAGCUUUUCUUUUUUCAUAUCAUGAGUGUUAGAAGUGAAUAUUCUGUACAUGACGUAUUUUUAGCACUCAUGCGAUGAUAUUUUUAAUCUUUUGUUUUUUUAGGUUC